RNAcentral lists this long non-coding RNA (1448 nucleotides) under Salvia miltiorrhiza (redroot sage). Its description in RNAcentral is "long non-coding RNA (SMIL_LNC010189)". The record is from RNAcentral. Lineage: Eukaryota; Viridiplantae; Streptophyta; Magnoliopsida; Lamiales; Lamiaceae.
CUCACUCUCUCGUCUCUCUCUCUCAAUCCAACUUCUCCGGCGAGCCUCCGACCACCGCCGAGCACCCCUCGCCUCUCCGACCACCGAAUGCCCCUCGCCCCUCCGGUGAGCCUUCGAUCGCUCGCGCACACACUGACGGGGGCAGAGGGCCGAGACCUAGCCCUAGCCCCGCCGAACAGCGCGGCGCCCCUCCCCCUCUUUUCUCCUUCUCCGCCGCCGCAUGCUUCUCCUUCUCCGGCCGAUGGCGGCUCUGGGGCCGCGCCGCGACCGCCUUCCUUCUUCCCCUCGCAUCUCUCUCUGUCCGACUCCUCUCUCUUCCCCUUUCGUUUCUCCCUCAUCUCUCUCUCACUAGACUCUGUGUCUGCCGCGAUUCAAUUUUUGGGUUAGGGGCUAGGGUUUGCCGCGAUUCGAUUUUUGGGUUCGAUUUUGCAGGUUCGAUUUUGAGUUUGAUUUUGGGUUUGAUUUCUGGGUUCGAUUUGGGGGUUGAAUUUAUGAGGUGGUGGUGGUUGUCGUAGGCGGCGGUAGUGUCGAUUUUGGGUAUGAAUUGGGGGUUGAAUUUCUGAGGCGGUGGUGGUGUCGGAGGUGGCGGUGGUGGUUGUCGGAGGCGGCGGUGGUGGUUGUCGGAGGUAUGAAUUGGGGGUUGAAUUUCAACUAAAACAUUAAAUAAAAAUAAAUAAAUACACUAAAUUAAAACUAAUCAACUACACUAAUAGUGGUGGGCCACAACACUUUAACAACUAAUUUACCUCUCCUUAAUCUCCGUGCCCCAAAGACCUAUGUCUUUAUUAAUGGGACGAAUGGAGUAUAUUAAAAUGAUAUGCUUAUAUGUACUUAUGUUUAUGCAUAUUCGUGUUCAAUUAUAUGCAUAAUUACGGCGGUGACCGUGUCAAAGAAAAGAAUUUUCGACCAAAAUAAUACUCCCUCCGUCCCGUUAAUCAUGGCUCAAAACUUUUCGGCACGGGUAUUUAGGAGAGUAAAAUUAAGAGGUAAGUGUAUAUCCCACAAACUUAAUUUAGUGUUAAUUUUAAUUAUGAAUUGUUGCCACUGUUCUCUCUCCCCCCCUAAUCUCCCUCCGCAGUCGGCUCUCUCCCCUAAUCUCCUUCCAUAGUCCGACCGGCGAAACAACGGCAAAAACCACCGCGCCACCGCCUCAUUUCUCUCUCUACCAGAUCCUGAAACCCGCCCCGCUCUUGCUCCGAUUUAUAGCAACAGAGCCGCCGCCGCUAGAGCUCUAUAUCACUAAAUCCACCGACACCACCCUUCAUCUCAUCUCCCUCCUCUAAUUCCGCCGACGGCGACGCCACCCACCUAACACCGCCUCCCUUCACCCACAAACCCAACAACAACAAACUCAACAACAGCACCUAAAAGAGAGAAUGAUUUGAGAGAUUUGCUGCACCAUUUUCGUACACCGUCCUUAGCCGAGACAUCCGAGAUCUGCAGCAACC